GACCCUAGCGGGAUGCUUUACACAUGCAAGUCGAACGGCAGCAUAAGAGAGCUUGCUCUCUUGAUGGCGAGUGGCGGACGGGUGAGUAAUGUAUCGGAACGUGCCCAGUAGUGGGGGAUAACUACGCGAAAGCGUGGCUAAUACCGCAUAUUCUCUACGGAGGAAAGGGGGGGAUCUUUUGACCUCUCGCUAUUGGAGCGGCCGAUAUCAGAUUAGCUAGUUGGUGGGGUAAUGGCCUACCAAGGCGGUGAUCUGUAGCUGGUUUGAGAGGACGACCAGCCACACUGGGACUGAGACACGGCCCAGACUCCUACGGGAGGCAGCAGUGGGGAAUUUUCGACAAUGGGGGGAACCCUGAUCGAGCCAUCUCGCGUGUGGGACGAAGGCCUUCGGGUUGUAAACCACUUUUCUCAACGAAGAAAAGUCUUAGGCUAAUACCUUAGGACGCUGACGGUAGUUGAGGAAUAAGCACCGGCUAACUACGUGCCAGCAGCCGCGGUAAUACGUAGGGUGCGAGCGUUAAUCGGAAUUACUGGGCGUAAAGGGUGCGCAGGCGGCUUGGAAAGAACGGUGUGAAAUCCCGGGGCUCAACCUCGGAACUGCACUAUUAACUGCCAAGCUAGAGUAUGUCAGAGGGGGGUGGAAUUUCCCCGUGUAGCAGUGAAAUGCGUAGAUAUGCGGAGGAACACCCAUGGCGAAAGCAGCCCCCUGGG
Molecule: ribosomal RNA, 713 nt
Filed under: uncultured bacterium
Lineage: Bacteria
Description: bacterial SSU rRNA
Rfam family: Bacterial small subunit ribosomal RNA
Source: RNAcentral